Molecule: ribosomal RNA, 647 nt
Filed under: uncultured bacterium
Lineage: Bacteria
Description: bacterial SSU rRNA
Rfam family: Bacterial small subunit ribosomal RNA
Source: RNAcentral
UCGAGGGGCAUCACAGUUUCGCAGCAAUGCGGGAUGGGUGGCGACCGGCAAACGGGUGCGGAACACGUACACAACCUUCCGGUGAGAGGGGGAUAGCCCAGAGAAAUUUGGAUUAAUACCCCAUACUAUAGUGAUCAGGCAUCUGGUUAUUAUCAAAGGCUUCGGCCGCUUAUUGAUGGGUGUGCGUCUGAUUAGGUAGUUGGUGGGGUAGAGGCCCACCAAGCCUGCGAUCAGUAGCUGAUGUGAGAGCAUGAUCAGCCACACGGGCACUGAGACACGGGCCCGACUCCUACGGGAGGCAGCAGUAAGGAAUAUUGGACAAUGGACGCAAGUCUGAUCCAGCCAUGCCGCGUGAAGGAUGAAUGCCCUCUGGGUUGUAAACUUCUUUUAUAGGGGAAGAAAGUUAUCUUUUUUAGGAUAUUUGACGGUACCCUGUGAAUAAGCACCGGCUAACUCCGUGCCAGCAGCCGCGGUAAUACGGAGGGUGCAAGCGUUAUCCGGAUUCACUGGGUUUAAAGGGUGCGUAGGCGGGCAGGUAAGUCAGUGGUGAAAUCCUGGAGCUUAACUCCAGAACUGCCAUUGAUACUAUCUGUCUUGAAUAUUGUGGAGGUAAGCGGAAUAUGUCAUGUAGCGGUGAAAUGCUUAGA